UCACACAGCAAGUCUUAAUGCCUAAUUCAGAUUUUUUGCUCAGAUAGGGAUUUUUUGUUUGUCUGUUGACAUGACCUUUUAAAACGUGGCCUAUAUCAGAUUCCAGUGUGAACUGCUUGUGGUUUUGAACUGACCCACAUGUGCAAAAGAACAAUACCAAUGACAUCAGAUGCAGCACGCUGUUGCACUAAAGUUAGGGAGGUUAUGGAGGAAGGAAGCAUUUUACCUUUUAUUUCUAAAUGUUUGUGUAAUGGCAGCCGUAACAUUACUGAGCAGGUGCUGAGGAGGAGAAGAAUGAAGAGAAAGAGACUAAUUGGCUAUUUUGGUCUUUUGUGGGGUUAUGGUUGCAAAUUAACUACAUAUGUCUGUGUGACCGGAUGACCGAUUU
Long non-coding RNA from Sander lucioperca (pikeperch), 388 nucleotides. RefSeq lists it as uncharacterized. The transcript has 2 exons. The record is from RefSeq and is a predicted model, not a curated record. NCBI's taxonomy places the organism in Eukaryota, Metazoa, Chordata, Actinopteri, Perciformes, Percidae.